UACGAAGGGGGCUAGCGUUGCUCGGAAUCACUGGGCGUAAAGGGCGCGUAGGCGGCUGUUCAAGUCGGGGGUGAAAGCCUGUGGCUCAACCACAGAAUGGCCUUCGAUACUGGACGGCUCGAGACCGGAAGAGGUCAGUGGAACUGCGAGUGUAGAGGUGAAAUUCGUAGAUAUUCGCAAGAACACCAGUGGCGAAGGCGACUCACUGGACACGUAUUGACGCUGAGGUGCGAAAGCGUGGGGAGCAAACAGG
This 253-nucleotide ribosomal RNA is filed under the name uncultured bacterium. RNAcentral describes it as "partial 16S ribosomal RNA". It matches the Rfam family "Bacterial small subunit ribosomal RNA", at positions 524 to 776 of the family's 1533-position model. The record is from RNAcentral.